Thalassophryne amazonica is the source of this 95-nucleotide long non-coding RNA. RefSeq lists it as uncharacterized. The transcript is spliced from 3 exons. Lineage: Eukaryota; Metazoa; Chordata; Actinopteri; Batrachoidiformes; Batrachoididae. The record is from RefSeq and is a predicted model, not a curated record.
CAGAUUGAGAAAAACAUGAAUGUGAGGUGUGAAAAAUGUAAUGAUCAAGAUCCAGAUUGAUCUGGAUCAGCCUUUCAGGUGUUAAUGCAGCAAAC